UACGAAGGGGGCUAGCGUUGUUCGGAAUUACUGGGCGUAAAGCGCGCGCAGGCGGCUAUCCAAGUCAGUGGUGAAAGCCCGGAGCUCAACUCCGGAACUGCCAUUGAAACUGUUUAGCUUGAGGACGAGAGAGGUGAGUGGAAUUCCCAGUGUAGAGGUGAAAUUCGUAGAUAUUCGCAGGAAUACCAGUGGCGAAGGCGGCUUACUGGUCCAUAACUGACGCUGAGGUGCGAAAGCGUGAGGAGCAAACAGG
RNAcentral lists this ribosomal RNA (253 nucleotides) under uncultured bacterium. RNAcentral describes it as "partial 16S ribosomal RNA". It matches the Rfam family "Bacterial small subunit ribosomal RNA", at positions 524 to 776 of the family's 1533-position model. The record is from RNAcentral.